GUACAGCUGAAGAGUCAUAAACUAGGACGAAACAGCUGUCCAGUAC
Molecule: non-coding RNA, 46 nt
Filed under: Trichobilharzia regenti
Lineage: Eukaryota; Metazoa; Platyhelminthes; Trematoda; Strigeidida; Schistosomatidae
Source: RNAcentral